UACGUAGGGUGCGAGCGUUGUCCGGAAUUAUUGGGCGUAAAGAGCUCGUAGGCGGUGUGUCACGUCGUUCGUGAAAACCUGCAGCUUAACUGUGGGCGUGCGGUCGAUACGGGCAUCACUGGAGUUCGGCAGGGGAGACUGGAAUUCCUGGUGUAGCGGUGAAAUGCGCAGAUAUCAGGAGGAACACCGGUGGCGAAGGCGGUUCUCUGGGCCUUACCUGACGCUGAGGAGCGAAAGCAUGGGGAGCAAACAGG
RNAcentral lists this ribosomal RNA (254 nucleotides) under uncultured bacterium. Its description in RNAcentral is "partial 16S ribosomal RNA". It matches the Rfam family "Bacterial small subunit ribosomal RNA", at positions 524 to 776 of the family's 1533-position model. The record is from RNAcentral.